GUUUUUUUAAACCCUAAAAAUCGUUUUCUUCUGCAUCCUCCUUCUGCUUAAAGCCUCCAUAAUCAAAUUGAUAUCAGUCACUAAAGAUCUUACUAUCUAGGAGCCUCCAAAGCGCUUCAAUCGACCAAGGAUAUGAUCUCUUAAACAUAUAAUUAUGCUGAUGGAAGAUUGAGAGACAGCAAAGGGAUAUUAACACAAAUCUUUUUGGAUUUGAUACAGAAUGAGAGGCUGCAAAGAGAUAUUAAAAACACAAAUCUUUUUGGAUAUGACUGGACCGAGGAUAUAAGACAGCAUAUAUAAGAUGGCUUUUUGAUGUUGCUUUUAUAUUUUCAUAUUGGUUAUCUUGGCUUUUUAAGGUGCUCUUAUAUUUAUUAUAUUGGU
RNAcentral lists this long non-coding RNA (381 nucleotides) under Helianthus annuus (common sunflower). RNAcentral's name for it is "sRNA HanXRQr2_Chr05g0216431". The record is from RNAcentral. Lineage: Eukaryota; Viridiplantae; Streptophyta; Magnoliopsida; Asterales; Asteraceae.